CGCGGGCCGAGUAGAGAGGGCGGGGCGCACACGUCCCCUGCCCUGGCGGGAAACGCCCAUCCAGCUGUGGUGAACCCCACAGGGAGGCGCAGGACAAGCGCUUUCCGGAAAGGUAUCAACAUAGUCUGCUUCUAUCACUAUGGUUCUGCCAGUUCAACGCCAACAGAACCCAAUUUGGAGUGCAGUGAAGAAGGAAACUGUUCAGUGCAACAACUCAGUUGUGAUACAUCAGCGCUGUGGAACAACAGCUCAAUGGCGUUACAGCUCAAUCCUGAAGCAGCAAGACUGUGAACAACAUAGCUGUUAGGGUGCUCUAGGCAAGACCGCUCCAAGCUCUCUGCUCUGCUCCAUGCCUGUCUCCUCAGGGGUGCUCUGUUCUCCUCUGCGCCGCCUUCUCCUGCCUGCUUUUCUCCACUCUGGCUCUGCCAGGUGUCGUUAGUGUUUCAACUUUGUUUCAGUUCCAGCCAGGGAACCCCAGUCUUCAGUAGAAAGGGAGAGUAUACUCUCAGAGGCAGAGUGGGGCUGACUUACAGAGACAGGAGUUCCUGACCCUGGUCCUUGAUUGGUCCAUCCUCAUGCAAAUAAGGACUUUAAAUCCUGAGUUUGGUCCAAAAGAAACUAUCCUGAUUGAUCAGAAUAGAGCCACUCUGAUUGGUUGGUGAAGAUGGUGAUUGGGGAAAGCCUCACUCCUAUUAGUUGAAAUACAGUUCCAGGAACUCCUUUGUAAGGGCUGGCUCAAAUGGCAGGAAUUCAAUGCAGAAGGCAGGCAGCUGAGUGCAGGCUUCUUGAAAUAGUGUGUGUGAUAGGCCCCUGUGUAGAAAAGAUUGGUAAGCUCUGGGGUUUUUGGUUUUUGUCCUUGUGUUUUUCUUUUUAAAAAAAUUUGAGUCCAGUUAGUCCCCAGGGGCCCUUUCUCAGGGUCCACAAUAUACCUGAAAUAAUACACAGUAAUCUUAUUUAUAUCUGACUUUUUUUACUCAACACAGUGCAUUUGAGAUUCAUCUUGUUGCACCCAAUAAAGCUGUGAUGAACAUUCUGAAGUUCCCACCCUAGAACACAGGAGCUGAGAUACCAUCUCCAUCAGCUACUUGCAGACACCCUCAGGCACAAAGAAAGACAGCACUCAGACCACCGAUCUUCCAUUUAAUCACCAUUCUUGCAACUGUGGUUCGGCACAGCUUGAGAAGUGUGUUCAGAAGAGACAGACUGAUGCUUUCCAUCAGCCCGGCAGAGGAGCUGGGCCCAGGAGUGAGAAGACCUCCGCGUCAGCCCAAGCUGUUCUCAUCACUCGCUGUGCGACCUUGGGCAAGUCACUGGCCACUUAGUGGAGACUCAGUGGUCCU
Long non-coding RNA from Artibeus jamaicensis (Jamaican fruit-eating bat), 1340 nucleotides. RefSeq lists it as uncharacterized. Lineage: Eukaryota; Metazoa; Chordata; Mammalia; Chiroptera; Phyllostomidae. The transcript is spliced from 5 exons. The record is from RefSeq and is a predicted model, not a curated record.